GCCCGGCCUCGCGCCCCUUCCGCCGGCCGCCCGGCCCGGCCCGGCCCCGCCUGCCCUCCGGUGCCUUGGCGGGGGCUGACAGGGCCGGCCGUGAGGCGGCCAGAUCCACGGCGGCACCCGUGGGCGCGGAGGGGACCCGCCAGCAACGUUCGCCUCAGCGGUGCCCCUGGUCAAGAUACAGAAGAAUAAGAGAUGGCCGAAUGGAAGCUAGAGCGCAGCAGAUAGCUAGUCUGUGACAGCCUAACGGAGGUGGGAGACGAUACAUGUGAGAUGAAAAUCAGCUUCUGCAGCAGCAGUCCCAGAUGGACUGUUGUGAUUUACUGAGCAGUCAAGACUGUAGAAGCCAGUGACUGACACCCUGCCACUGACCUGAUCUUUGUCUCUGAUGGAGCUGAGAACAACUGGCAGCAGAAAUGAAGGCUGUGACAUUUGUGCUGGAAAUGUUACUGAAGGGACUCUAGAUGGGCUAUACUUUGGUCCUCCUUUGAAGCCAACAGCUUCAUAUCCAUUGACUUCAAUCAGAACAAUAUUAUGGCAAGUACCUUUCAUAACUGUUUUUAUUCUGUUUUUUCUUUAUGGAAGAUAUGUUUAUGCACUUGCAUUACCAGUUCAUCUGUUUGUCUGUCUUUGCAGUAACUUUUAACUGUAUUUAACAGAGGGUACUUGACUCAAAGAUACUAAAUCCCUAUAAGUUUCAUGAAAAUAAGAAUCUGGGUAGAAGACCCCAAGUCCUACUAAGGCAAACGCAGAGAGAGACUGACCUUUAACCAUUCUGCUUGGUCUGCCCAACAGCCAAGAGGCAACAGCUUGUAUAUAGGAGCAAACUAACUGUGAAACCCUGGGCUAAUCACAGUAUGUUCCAUAUUGUAAAACCUUAAUUUUACAACUAGAGAUAAGGGGGUGUAAGGAAGGUAGAAUGACUAAAAUCUCAGAUUUUACCAGAAAUCAAACUUGGUCCUUAGACCUUUCAAUGGCAAUAUAUUUAUCCUGUAUUUGAUGGAGAACAAAUACAGAUCUUCCCCCUCAAGACUUAGAUCUCCUUUACUGACUUUCAAGUAGUUGUCCUCAUGGAAUACGUUUGCCCCAUUGACAGUAUUAAAAAGUUUCAUUACUUGCUGACUCUUUUUUUUCAUGAUCUCUACAUGUACAGCUGCUGAGUAGUUAAAAUAGUUCAAUGUGAACCAACAAAAUUCAUAAAGGAUAAGCCCUCAAUAGCCAUUAAGAACAAUAAUCAGAUGCAACUUCUUGCUUGAGAAAUUCUUUAUUUUCUUACUGGCGGAAGGGGGAAUAUGCCAGAAUCAGGAUGACUCUGCUCAUGCUCAUGCCUGGUUCUUCUGAGUGUCCUGUAAUGGCUAAUGAUUGUUCUUUCUCAUUACUGCGGAAACAAUGCAAUACCAGGAAUGGGCACAGGGCCAAAACCCAUCUCCACUCUCCAGAAUCCCACUGAAUAGUCACUACAUUGAGAACAUAUGAGACAUUAAACUGAAAAGAAUAGACACUAUACUGGGUUGUUAUGUUGGAGAUAGGCUACUGGGCUAGGUGGACCUUUGCUCUGAGCAGCAUGGCCUUUCUUAUGUUCUCUGUUCUUACAAGCUGUUGAAACUUGAUUAAAGGUCAUAUUUCAGUCAGAAACCUCUGUGUGACACGUGCCAGCUCUCUAGGACCUGCAGCUAGGGUAGGAUUACCUGUGAUUUAUGACAGCUCUGGAAGUUAUAACUAGUGCUGUUAGUGCACAGAAGAACUGAAAGUAUGAAUAUGCUGUUUAGAAAGUAAACCCCUCACAAAAAAAGAAAGGUAAAACUAAAACCUAAAAACUUCACUUUCUUUGAAGUGUACUUUUGCUCUAGACUUGAGACCUGUAUGGAACUACCUACCGCAUGGUAUAACCUGCAUAAUUUUCUAUGUUAGUUUCUAGUUCGAGUGCAAGCUCAUAAAAUUCCUGUUAGGCACAUUCUUGAAUAGGAUGCUGUACUAUUCUGUAGCAUCUGGAAACUAUGUAGUUGCAAUAAGUAUCUGCAUGUGACAAUGUCAAAACCAUGUGAAUGCAUAAGAUGCCUCAUCUACAUAUGAUAAAAGAGGGAGUUGGAUGAGAUAAUGCAAACUAGUUCAUCAAAAGCAUGGGUACCAUUGUUGAAGUCAUCUGGCCUUGAAUAUUUGCAUGUCUAUCAUGGAAAUACUUCAUGGUCAAAAUAGCAAUAUGCUGUACACAGUAAUCCUAUCACAUUAUUAUUUGUGAGACUUUUUUUUUCCCACUCUGAGAUGGACAACCAGGAUUUUCUGGAUCUUGGAUAGUCAACUAUCUUCAAUAAUUGAGUCAACUCCCCCUGAUUUUACUGUGUUAAGAGCCACAUAAGGGCAAAUUAUGAAGGGUGAGAUACAUUUUGUGGAGCUCAAUCCUAAAUGAUUCAUGUGAAAAGAACAUUACAUGUAGUCAGUCAGUACUUCUAUGAACAGAGCACUUGCAAGACUGUUCCUUAUUUCUACAAAUAUUUAUAUUAAUUAGAAUGAAACUAUAAAUACAUAUGACAAGGAGACUACCCACAAUUGUAUUCCCAAAUGAAAAUCAAUCUGAUGUGCUCUGCAGAUAUUGUUGGACAAAAUAAUCAUGGUAAUAUAUGAGGAGGGAAAUAGUUGAAUAUCCACAAUUUUCUUCAUAUGAAAGUCCACUUAAGAUGAGGUUGCAGCACUCUUCAAAAUAGAACUUAAACUUUAAGAUUUUUUUUUUUCCCCUAAAACCUUACAAAACCCCCAAACAAAUGACAGAGAACAGUACUAACCCCAAUGUAUUUUCACUCCACUGAUUUAAGGAAUGAAACUUUCAGUGUAAUUUAAAAUGUAGUUCUGUAUGUGCUUGGUAUAAAGAGUUCCUACUAAUCUUCAAAGCUGUGAUUUUUGCUCUCUAAAUUUGGUCUUCUCUGUCAUCCCUUAGUUCCCCAGAAUGCAUCAUCUGACAGUCCAUUAGUUGUGUGAGGGACAGAACCUGUUCCCUUCAGUGCCAAGGAGGGGAUUGGUGUUCAGUGGGAAUCUUAUGCGUGAGAGGCCCAUCUGGGACUGGCUGAUGAAUGGCUGUAGUCAAACUUAAGUUACAUUCUUUCAAGCAGUUCUAGAAUGGAAAACAUUAUCUGUGGGCUAUAUGGCUCUUGAUUACAUUAAAGCAAUUAUUUUCUGGCUCCUGUGAAACUUUGGAGAUGGGGAAAUGUUCAAAAAGGUCUGUGUAAAACAGAUUGCUGGUUCCAGCUCCCAGUGGCAGGCAGAAUACCAGAAAUUGUUCUGCCAGAAGGGAGGCCGCCUGAAGUCACCUUCCCCUGGCUUUGCAUCCUGUGUCUGGGUUCUUUGAUUGCUAGCAAGGAUUGACCUCAACUAGUCUUUUCUUCAGUAGGUGCACCAACAUAGUCGUCUUUUUUUCUGCUUUAAUCCCCCUUUCCAUUAAAUGUGUGUGAACGUGAUCACCUCAUUUUCUGUGGUUGAAAUUCGCAAAUAAGUUUAUGAUUUAUUCAGGAAAUGCAUCCAUCCGUGUGAACACAGUGUAGUUGUCUGCAAGUGAUUUCCCUAGGAAACCAGGCUACAAAUGGUGAUACUCAUGCUUUACCCUCUGUGCCAAUUAACUCCAUUGUGACUAUCUAGCCAAUGUCUUUCAGUGUGAGACGCCUUUUUGGUGAAAAAUGCUUUGGCCCAAUUGCUUUUGGCAGUAAUACUUAUUCUAGGGAUAUUUCAAAACUGCUCACAGUGAACUGCAUGAUGCAAUCGAUCAUAAAAAUUUGUAGUGAAGGGCAUAUAAUUUACAUAGGAAACUUAAAACUUUGUAUUAAUUUCCUCACUGAAAAUAACUCCCUUUUAUAAUCUCACUGAUGUGAUUCUUUGUUGUGAUCUGUGUCUUCUGAGUUUAUAAAUGAGUUUUCUUAAAAUGAAGGACUUCAGAGCGGUGUGGCAGCAGAGCACCUGCACUCUUUUUGCCAGCAACCUCUGUCCCUCCAGUAGCUGAGCCGUGCUGUGCCCCGCAGCCUGCCCGCGUGGCUGCACCAGCUCCCUCCAGUACCACUUCAUUGCCGUGGUGUUACUCGCUUCCUAGGAAGAACAGGUAUUGCUGUGCUGAGGGCUCCGGAACAGAAAGGUUGAGAUACACUGGAAAGAGGAACUUUUUUUCCGCAGGGAUGUCAGCCUGCUUUGGAUUUAAUGACUGUUUUACUUAGGAAUAUGUUCAGGUGCUUAUUUAAAUUAAGCUUUGUAUCAUCCUGUUUUUUGUUUGUGG
Molecule: long non-coding RNA, 4249 nt
Organism: Aquila chrysaetos chrysaetos
Lineage: Eukaryota; Metazoa; Chordata; Aves; Accipitriformes; Accipitridae
Source: Ensembl